This 301-nucleotide ribosomal RNA is filed under the name uncultured bacterium. Its description in RNAcentral is "partial 16S ribosomal RNA". It matches the Rfam family "Bacterial small subunit ribosomal RNA", at positions 509 to 809 of the family's 1533-position model. The record is from RNAcentral.
CAGUAGCCGCGGUAAUACGAAGGGUGCAAGCGUUAAUCGGAAUUACUGGGCGUAAAGCGUGCGUAGGCGGUGAGUUAAGUCUGCUGUGAAAUCCCCGGGCUCAGCCUGGGAAUGGCAGUGGAUACUGGCUCGCUAGAGUGUGUCAGAGGGGGGUAGAAUUCCGCAUGUAGCAGUGAAAUGCGUAGAUAUGCGGAGGAACACCGAUGGCGAAGGCAGCCCCCUGGGCCAACACUGACGCUCAUGCACGAAAGCGUGGGGAGCAAACAGGAUUAGAUACCCCGGUAGUCCCUGUCUCUUAUAA